Molecule: non-coding RNA, 1545 nt
Organism: Oryctolagus cuniculus (rabbit)
Lineage: Eukaryota; Metazoa; Chordata; Mammalia; Lagomorpha; Leporidae
Source: RefSeq, a predicted model, not a curated record
CAGUUCUAGCCGCUGGCAUUACAAUACUCUUAAUGGACCAAAAUCUACACACAACGUUUUUUGACCCUGUAGGAGGAGGAGACCCUAUCCUCUAUCAACACUUAUUUUGAUUCUUCAGACACCCUGAAGAAAUGAAUGAUGAAGGUGAAUGCUACCAACGAAGCACUUAUCAACCUGUAUGGUAUGAAGGAAAUGCAUUCUGAGGUGAUAAAAAGGUGUUCCAUUGUGUGACACAGAGAUUGGAAAGCUGCAGUACAUACAUAAGAUGAAGCAUUCAAACAGAACUGAGAAGUAAGAUAUUGGUGGUCAAGAUUGUAUAAAGGAAAGUGUGAGUGGUGGCGUAGGGUUCCAGUGAAUUUUGGAAAUUUCAUGUGAGCUCAUGUAAGCAGACACUGGGAAGACAUUCCCUGAAACAGACUCUGAAUUUGAGGACAUCAGCUGGAGCCCCUCUCUUUUACCCAGUGUGGCUCUGGGAUUUUACCUCUGUCGUGUCGUGCACAGUGAGAUAAGGACAGGAAGAGUCCCCUCAUCUGGCUUUCAGGACUGGACAAAGACAUCCCACAUUACAGCUGAAGGAGAGUGAUACCUCUACUGUAGGAGUACUCUCAAGAACAAGAAUUUCUGCUCAUAUUGGGACAUUCCUGUAUUCUAAAAAUUACCACAGAUGAAAUUAGGUAAGAAGGGGAGAGAGAAAACUCACAUUCAUUCAGGUGAUCUUCUCAGGUACACAAGAAGAUGGUACACAAAGUGUCAGUUUUGUCCCUAUAGAUUACAUUUUAGGUAUUCAACUAAUUACCACAACUCAGAAACCAUAUGAUAUUUAUAUUUUUGUGACUGGAUAAUUUCACUAAACAUAAUGAUUUCCAGUUGCAUGCUAUUUUGAUUGGUUUGCACGGAAUCUAUAAAUUGCGUUCAGUAGUAUGGAUAUAUUGAUGAUAUUGAUUCUUCCAAUCCAUUAACAUGAAAUAUGUUUCCAUUUUUUUAUGCAUUCUUCUAUUUCUUUCUUUAAUGUUUUGUAAUUUUCAUCAUAGACAUCUUUAAUGUCCUUUUUUUAUUCCAAGGUAUUUAAAUUUUUGUAGUUACUGUAAAUGAAAUUGAUCUUAGAAGUUCUUUCUCAGCCAUGGGGCUGUUUGUGUAUACAAAGGCUACUGAUUUUGUGUGUUGAUCAUAUAUUCUGCAAUUUUACCAAACUCUUUUGUGAACUCCAGUCAUCUCUUUGUGGAGUGUUUUGGGUUCCUUAUAGGGAUAGUUUGGAUUCUCCCUUCCCUAUUUCUAUCCGUUUGAUUUCUUUUUCUUGCCUGAUGGCUCUGGCUAAAACUUUUAGGACUAUAUUAAAUAGCAAGGGUGAGAAUGGGCACCCUUGUCUGGUUACAGUUCUUAAUAGGUAUGCAUGCAAUUUUUCCCCAUUCAGUAGGUUAUUGGAAGUGGGUUUGUGAUAAAUUGCUUUGAUUAUGUUGAGUGUUCCUUCUAUAUACAAUGCUUAAGGUUUUCAUCAUAAAGGGGUGCUGAGUUUUGUCAAAGGCUUUCUCUGCAUCUAUGGAGAUA